This 1633-nucleotide long non-coding RNA is filed under the name Apis mellifera (honey bee). Its description in RNAcentral is "uncharacterized LOC107964882, transcript variant X3". Lineage: Eukaryota; Metazoa; Arthropoda; Insecta; Hymenoptera; Apidae. The record is from RNAcentral.
GCGCGUACACACGCACGUACGCAUGUAAAACGACGGUUGAAAAAAACGGCUCCUCUGGACGCUUAUUUCCAGUCUUUAAGGAACAGAGGGAUGCGUCAACUGCAUACCCUUUUCACUGAUCUCGUUGAUGGCGCGUGGUCUAAAGUUGGUGCAAAUCUGUGAAUAUAACAAAACAUGUAUGUGUGCAGUGGAUCGGUAAAAAAAAAAAAAAAUAUUCAAAGUGAAGUAUUGAAAUGUUAAACGAUAUAAAAGAUAUACUUAAAAUCUUGAUCUGAAGAAUGAUCUUGCAUGAAAAAUAAAAACAUAUUUUAUUUUAGCGUGAUUCAAGCAUUUUUGGAUAACGUAAAUUAAAUUAAGAAAUUGAUAUUCAUUACCGGCCAUAUGAUCCAUACCAGUAUCCAGGCUGCCGUUGCCAUCAUCGAUGCUAAUAUGCUCUGGGAUGAUCAAGCAAGCAUACUCAAGCACGCCGCAAUGUGUAGCCAAACAGAGAGAAAUCAUUUUGAGUACUUACGAUGAUUCUGUAAAAAUAAUCGAUUAAGAUAAAAAUCAUAAGAAAGGCAAAAUGAUUAGAAAUAAGAUAAAGAAUAAUUCAAGAGAAAAAAAUCAAAAUCAUUUAAAAAUUAUAAACUAUUCCAUAUAUAAAUAAUUGCAAAUAAAAUUAACAAUCCUUCUUAAAUUUGUUUGGUGAUUAUAAUAAGUUAGAAUUCAUAUUUAUAAAAAUAUAGCAAGUAUGAUUAAAAUCUAAUGAAACCAAUUGAAAGGACAGCAGAAAGUGUCUGUUUUAAGUGUGAUUCUAGAAAAAAAGAGCCGAUCUUGGUGACGUUUUCCUUGAAUACGAUUCUACGAACCACUCUUUGGUACGUCUGUUGGCAGUGAGCCGAAUGAGACGCGCAACUGUCCCGAACAAUUCAACUUCUGAUCUUAACUUUGUAGAAUUCACUCCAUUAAAUUAAAUUUUAUUGCUCGGAUGUGAAGUAAUCGUGGAACGAGCCAAGUCGAUCGAUCCUUUUUUUGCACUAUUUGCUGGAAUUUUGUUGGGAAAUUGAAACACGUGUUUGUAUUUUUCUUUUAUUAUUUUUUUUAAUUUCAAAAUUGAAUUUAAAAGAUACAGAUGUUCAAAAAAAUAUUAAUUUCGAAAUGACCAAUCGUAGCUUAUCAGUUCAGUCAGAUAGAGCUCCCUGUUCCAAUAGUUCGAUGUAUCGGCACGAAUACUCAUAUUGGAUUGCACUCAUAUUCGCAAGAUUUUUCUAUCAUUUUUUAAUAAUACGUUAUACAUUGUACGAUAUUAGAGAUCCCCUGACUGCGUUACGUUGUUAACGAUGUAUAAUGCCUCGACAAGAUUGUCCAUUGUUUCUUCGAAACAAUGCCGAUCGUACAAUCUACUGGAAAUCCGUCAAAACUUCUGCAUUCAUGCAAUAUUACACGAACACGAUAAUAUUUAUAUUUAAAAGCGCACAAAUAACGUUUCACAAAAAAAAUAAAGGAAAUUCUCGCGCUGAAUCUUAACCAAUGUCAUGGAUCUACAUUAAAAUGUAAAAUGAAUGCGUUAUAAUUAAAGUCUUAUUGUAUACAAGUUCCUAACCUAUAAACAUAAAGUACGAAGAUACGAGAGCGGAGAAGAAAAGGGAGAAAG